GACGACGCUGGCGGCGUGCUUAAUACAUGCAAGUCGAGCGAGGUUACUGUUUCGGAUCCCUUCGGGGUGAAGAAGCUUUAACCUAGCGGCGGACGGGUGAGUAACGCGUGGGUAACCUACCCCAAAGUCCGGGAUAACAGCGGGAAACCGCUGCUAAUACCGGAUGCCUUUACCUUGGGGCAUCUUGAGGUAAAGAAAGGUAACGCUUUGGGAUGGGCCCGCGUCCCAUUAGCUAGUUGGUGAGGUAACGGCUCACCAAGGCGACGAUGGGUAGCCGGCCUGAGAGGGUGGACGGCCACACUGGGACUGAGACACGGCCCAGACUCCUACGGGAGGCAGCAGUAGGGAAUAUUGCGCAAUGGACGGAAGUCUGACGCAGCGACGCCGCGUGAGCGAUGAAGGUCUUCGGAUCGUAAAGCUCUGUCCUUGGGGAAGAAGGUCUUCGGACUUGACGGUACCCAAGAAGAAAGCCCCGGCUAACUACGUG
Molecule: ribosomal RNA, 487 nt
Filed under: uncultured bacterium
Lineage: Bacteria
Description: bacterial SSU rRNA
Rfam family: Bacterial small subunit ribosomal RNA
Source: RNAcentral